AUUAUUGUGGCUGUCACUCAGGUUUUCUGCUCAUUGGUAGACAAAGGGUGAGGAGGUGACUGAAAUUAGAACAGUGGAAGGACCCUUCACCAAAACCUGGAACGUCAGAAGAAUGGCAAGGCUGAAAAUGAUUAGUGUUAAUUCAUUGCAGUUGUGGUACCCUACCUGUAAGAGUGCCUGAAGGAGCCUGAACUUCCAUGUACUGUCUUCCAUAUAAUGUGAUCUGAGG
This 229-nucleotide long non-coding RNA is filed under the name Pongo abelii (Sumatran orangutan). RNAcentral describes it as "lincRNA". The record is from RNAcentral. Lineage: Eukaryota; Metazoa; Chordata; Mammalia; Primates; Hominidae.